GGCUCCGCGCCUAUAUCAGUUAGAUGGGGGGGGUAAAAGCCCCCCAGGGAUAUGCGGGGGUAGCGUGCUCUGAGAGGACGAUCACCACACAUGGGGAAUGAGACACACGGUCAGACUCACUACGGGAGUGGCAGCAUGGGGAAUAUCAUUCACAAGGGGGAAGCCCGAUGCAGUGCGACGCCGCGUGGAGGAUGAAGGCCUUGGGUUGUAAACCUCUUUGUCAAGGGGGAACAAGAAAGUGAUAGUACCGCAAGAGGAAGAGCCGGCUAACUAUGUGCCAGCAGCCGCGGUAAUACAGAGGUCUCAAGCGUUGUUCGGAUUCAUUGGGCGUAAAGAGUGCGUAGGCGGCGAUUUAAGUCUGGUGUGAAAUUUCGGGGCUCAACCCCGGACCUGCAGUGGAUACGGGCAGACUAGAGGAUUGUAGGGGAGAGUGGAAUUCAUGGUGUAGCGGUGAAAUGCGCAGAUAUCAGGAGGAACACCAGUGGCGAAGGCGAGGUCUCUG
This 502-nucleotide ribosomal RNA is filed under the name uncultured bacterium. RNAcentral describes it as "bacterial SSU rRNA". It matches the Rfam family "Bacterial small subunit ribosomal RNA", at positions 227 to 731 of the family's 1533-position model. The record is from RNAcentral.